Molecule: ribosomal RNA, 505 nt
Filed under: uncultured bacterium
Lineage: Bacteria
Description: bacterial SSU rRNA
Rfam family: Bacterial small subunit ribosomal RNA
Source: RNAcentral
CAGAACGAACGCUGGCGGCGCGUUUAAGCAUGCAAGUCGAGCGGUAAGCCGGAGCAAUCCGGCCUAGAGCGGCGGACGGGUGAGUAACACGUGGAUAAUCUGGCCUACAGUUUGGGAUAGCCUGGUGAAAGCCAGGAUAAUACCGGAUACGACGGUUUGGUCACAAGACUGAAUCGGGAAAGGGGCUAAGGCCUCGCUGAAGGAUGAGUCCGCGUCCCAUUAGCUAGAUGGUGAGGUAAAGGCCCACCAUGGCGAUGAUGGGUAGCCGGCCUAAGAGGGUGAACGGCCACAUUGGGACUGAGAUACGGCCCAGACUCCUACGGGAGGCAGCAGCUAAGAAUCUUCCGCAAUGGUCGAAAGACUGACGGAGCGACGCCGCGUGAAUGAAUGAAGGCCGUGAGGUUGUAAAGUUCUUUUCUGGAGGGAGAAUAAGUGUUGUAGGGAAUGACAACAUGAUGACGUGAAUCCAGGAAUAAGCCCCGGCUAACUACGUGCCAGCCGCGGC